GACGGGGCCCGCACAAGCGGUGGAGCAUGUGGUUUAAUUCGACGCAACGCGAAGAACCUUACCAGGGCUUGACAUCCCCUGACCGCGUAUGAAAGUACGUUUUCACCCUCGGGUGACAGGGAGACAGGUGGUGCAUGGUUGUCGUCAGCUCGUGUCGUGAGAUGUUGGGUUAAGUCCCGCAACGAGCGCAACCCCUACGUUUAGUUGCUAACGCGUGAAGGCGAGCACUCUGGACGAACUGCCGUUGACAAAACGGAGGAAGUGGGGAUGACGUCAAAUCAUCAUGCCCCUUAUGUUCUGGGCUACACACGUGCUACAAUGGCCGGUACAGACGGACGCAAAGCCGCGAGGUGGAGCAAAUCCUAAAAAGCCGGUCUCAGUUCGGAUUGCAGGCUGCAAUUCGCCUGCAUGAAGUCGGAAUCGCUAGUAAUCGCAGGUCAGCAUACUGCGGUGAAUACGUUCCCGGGCCUU
RNAcentral lists this ribosomal RNA (471 nucleotides) under uncultured Pelotomaculum sp. Its description in RNAcentral is "bacterial SSU rRNA". It matches the Rfam family "Bacterial small subunit ribosomal RNA", at positions 916 to 1381 of the family's 1533-position model. The record is from RNAcentral. Lineage: Bacteria; Bacillati; Bacillota; Clostridia; Eubacteriales; Desulfotomaculaceae.